CAGCCGCCGCGGGAAUACGUAGGUCCCGAGCGUUGUCCGGAUUUAUUGGGCGUAAAGCGAGCGCAGGCGGUUAGAUAAGUCUGAGGUUAAAGGCUGUGGCUUAACCAUAGUACGCUUUGGAAACUGUUUAACUUGAGUGCAGAAGGGGAGAGUGGAAUUCCAUGUGUAGCGGUGAAAUGCGUAGAUAUAUGGAGGAACACCGGUGGCGAAAGCGGCUCUCUGGUCUGUAACUGACGCUGAGGCUCGAAAGCGUGGGGAGCAAACAGGAUUAGAGACCCCAGUAGCCCCUGUCUCUUAUACA
RNAcentral lists this ribosomal RNA (301 nucleotides) under uncultured bacterium. RNAcentral describes it as "partial 16S ribosomal RNA". It matches the Rfam family "Bacterial small subunit ribosomal RNA", at positions 509 to 808 of the family's 1533-position model. The record is from RNAcentral.